UAUUUCUUGAGCACAUGUAUGAGUAUGUGACAUGCGAUAAAAGUUCAUCAAUUAUCAAUUAUCAAACUAUAUAUAUCUGAUACGAUUGAUUGUUUAUAUUGAAAAUUGAAGAUACAUACAUGGUUCAAAUCAAAUGUAUACUACCUAAUUCGAUUUUGCAUCAAUUUUCAAAUUCUAAAUACAACAGAUCAAGGGGAUGAAUUGAGUGACUCGAUGAGAAAUUAGAAUCAAUUAUCAAUUAUCAAACUACACAUGUCUGAUACGAUUGAUUGUUUAUAUUGAAAAUUGAAGAUACAUACGUGGUUCAAAUCAAAUGUAUACUACCUAAUUCGGUUUUGCAUCAAUCUUCAAAUUCUAAAUACAACAGAUCAAGAGGAUGAAUUGAGUGACUCGAUGAGGAAUCAGAAUGAAUCUAACAUCAUCCAUCCCUAGCUCGAGGGUGUGACGAAAUUUCUUUACAAUAGCUACAACGUACUCUACAAGAGAUAAACUUGUUAGGUAUGAAUUUUCCCUUCCAAGAAAGUGCAAGCUAGAAAACAAGUUUCUUCAAAACUGUUUUGCUUUAUGGGUAAUGACAAGAAUUAACACGAUUUCCAUUCCACACCAGACAACUAUGGAAGACAUGAUAUCCAGAGAGACGAAGAAGCUAGCGUUGCUUCCCUGACCUCCGCCGCGCCCGGCCAGCUGCUUAAUUGCUUUACAUGUGCUUAAUUACCAACUAACUUCCAAGUUUAAUUGUUAAAUCAUCAUCAACAUUCUCUUUUGCAGAUAUUCUUUGAUUUCUUUAAGGUUUAAUUAGCUUCCACGCUGGUGGAGCCUUUGCGUUCCAAAAAGCAUGAUACUCCUAACCUUUGCGCCUAAAGCCUAAUUGUGUUAAUUAUAAGCUUAGAAACCAUUCUAGUUAGAAUCAAUUAAUAUGAAUUGGUCCACCUAAUAGUGUAGAUUACAAAGUAGAGAUGAUAGUAUACACCCUUUGUGAGUAAUUAUAGAUGAAUUUAGCAAAGCUAACUAUUUGUGGCCUCCCUAAAAAUAAAAAUAAACAAUUAUGAAAUGUAAAAGUUUCUUAUCUUAUUUAUCUUUCAUCAUCGAAUUAUAAAGUAUAUCAAACGGUAAAAGAAAAUAUGUGUACGUCACAUGUCGGAAUAUCUUUGAAAAUUCCGCUCUACAAUUGUUCUAUUCAACUAGAGGUGUCGAGCAUCAAUCAUCAUAGACUCGCCCUUGUGUGAUCUCCGCUUUGUAGAAUAAACACACCAAAACGUUACGAAGCU
RNAcentral lists this long non-coding RNA (1268 nucleotides) under Fragaria vesca (wild strawberry). Its description in RNAcentral is "long non-coding RNA (FVES_LNC001098)". The record is from RNAcentral. Lineage: Eukaryota; Viridiplantae; Streptophyta; Magnoliopsida; Rosales; Rosaceae.